Molecule: ribosomal RNA, 460 nt
Filed under: uncultured ammonia-oxidizing beta proteobacterium
Lineage: Bacteria; Pseudomonadati; Pseudomonadota; Betaproteobacteria
Description: bacterial SSU rRNA
Rfam family: Bacterial small subunit ribosomal RNA
Source: RNAcentral
AAGCAGGGGAUCGUAAGACCUUGCGCUUUUGGAGCGGCCGAUGUCUGAUUAGCUAGUUGGUGGGGUAAUGGCCUACCAAGGCUACGAUCAGUAGCUGGUCUGAGAGGACGGCCAGCCACACUGGGACUGAGACACGGCCCAGACUCCUACGGGAGGCAGCAGUGGGGAAUUUUGGACAAUGGGCGCAAGCCUGAUCCAGCCAUGCCGCGUGAGUGAAGAAGGCCUUCGGGUUGUAAAGCUCUUUCAGCCGGGAAGAAAAGGUUGCGAUUAAUAAUCGCAAUUCAUGACGGUACCGAAAGAAGAAGCACCGGCUAACUACGUGCCAGCAGCCGCGGUAAUACGUAGGGUGCGAGCGUUAAUCGGAAUUACUGGGCGUAAAGGGUGCGCAGGCGGUUUUGUAAGUCAGAUGUGAAAUCCCCGGGCUUAACCUGGGAACUGCGUUUGAAACUACAAGGCUUAG